This 995-nucleotide unclassified non-coding RNA is filed under the name Manduca sexta (tobacco hornworm). Its description in RNAcentral is "aprataxin and PNK-like factor, transcript variant X2". The record is from RNAcentral. Lineage: Eukaryota; Metazoa; Arthropoda; Insecta; Lepidoptera; Sphingidae.
GAGGCACGACAAAAUAAGAAAAUGGAAAAUGAAUAUGACAACAAGGUCUCUAGGAACCAUGCAGAACUAUUGGUUACAGAUGAUGAGGUCACAUUGACUGCGUUACAUUCCAACCCAUGUUUUUAUAUGAAAAAGCAGCACAAAAGUGUCCAAGUCUUGAACAAAGACUCAUGCAUUGUGUUGGGUUGUGGUGACAAAUUUGGCAUUUUACCACAUAUCUACUGGUACGAGCUGAUAUUCUGUUCCCAACUGCCAGAGGAUGCUGAAAGUGCCAAAGAUAAUAAGAAGGAAGGGAAUCAGUGGAGAAAGAGGCUGACAACGAGGAUUUGUCAAAGGAGGUUAAUUUUGAACCAAAUGAAACAGCGCAGGAAGGGGGACAGUCAUCGCCUUCCACACUUGAAAGAGAUUCACCAACACAAUUAUAUGAAUGGAGGAAAUCACCUUCGCAUGAUUGUGAGGAAAAGCCGAAGACCAGGAUGAGAAAGCACAGUCUCCGUUAAAGCGGCCCAUAAGCCCAAACAAUGGAGAUGGUGAAGAAAUCAAAAAGGUCAAAACUGACGAUGAUAAUGCUGACGAGGCUGGACCCAGUAAUGGAGCGUCGACAAGUGACGACAAGAACGAUAAUGGACCAGUGCGCGAGAGGUGCAUGUAUGGAGCUAGCUGUUAUAGGAAGAACCUGCAGCACAGGGCGCAGUACUCGCACCCGGCGGACGCGGACUGGCCGGCGGCCGAGCGGCGCGCGUGCGCGUUCGGCGCGGCGUGCCGGCGCCGCGACCCGCGCCACCGCCGCGACUGCGCGCACCCGCCCGCGCCCGCGCCGCCUCGGGACGCGCCGCUGCAGCGCGACGGACGAGGUAGGCAAUUUGUCGAGCGCUAUGGAAACAUAUUCUACAUAAACGCACACACUGUCAACUUCUACGACGAUCACUUCCAAGUCGAGGACUCUGAUGGCGACAGCGUCGACUACGAUUAUGAAUUUUGAGCUUAAAACACCC